RNAcentral lists this unclassified non-coding RNA (242 nucleotides) under Basidiomycota sp. RNAcentral's name for it is "partial contains small subunit ribosomal RNA and internal transcribed spacer 1". The stretch from base 1 to 47 matches the Rfam family "Eukaryotic small subunit ribosomal RNA", at positions 1785 to 1831 of the family's 1831-position model. Lineage: Eukaryota; Fungi; Basidiomycota. The record is from RNAcentral.
AAAGUCGUAACAAGGUUUCCGUAGGUGAACCUGCGGAAGGAUCAUUAUUGUGAUUGCCGCACCCGGUAAAAGGGGUGUGAGCAAGCCAUCCUUGUGUUGUGUGUGAAUGUUGUGUGUAUGUGUGCACAUGCAAAUGUGACACCUACAUGCCCAUUUUUAACCCUUUCUACUUUGUCUAAUUAUACCGCUCGAAAGAGCACACAAACAACCGAAAACUGCCAGCAAUGGAUCACUCGGUUCUC